Small nuclear RNA from Piliocolobus tephrosceles (Ugandan red Colobus), 71 nucleotides. The record is from Ensembl. Lineage: Eukaryota; Metazoa; Chordata; Mammalia; Primates; Cercopithecidae.
GUGCUUGCUUCAGCAGCACAUAUCCUAAAAUUUGGAACGAUACAGAGAAGAUUAGCAUGGUCCCUGGGUAA